GAGUUUGAUCCUGGCUCAGAUUGAACGCUGGCGGCAUGCCUUACACAUGCAAGUCGAACGGCAGCACGGGAGCUUGCUCCUGGUGGCGAGUGGCGAACGGGUGAGUAAUGCAUCGGAACGUAUCCUGGAGUGGGGGAUAACGUAGCGAAGUUACGCUAAUACCGCAUAUUCUGUGAGCAGGAAAGCGGGGGACCUUCGGGCCUCGCGCUCUUGGAGCGGCCGAUGUCGGAUUAGCUAGUUGGUGAGGUAAAGGCUCACCAAGGCGACGAUCCGUAGCAGGUCUGAGAGGAUGAUCUGCCACACUGGAACUGAGACACGGUCCAGACUCCUACGGGAGGCAGCAGUGGGAUUUUGGACAAUGGGGGCAACCCUGAUCCAGCCAUGCCGCGUGAGUG
This 395-nucleotide ribosomal RNA is filed under the name bacterium enrichment culture clone ALO1_GLFRUDD03FQTWL. RNAcentral's name for it is "bacterial SSU rRNA". It matches the Rfam family "Bacterial small subunit ribosomal RNA", at positions 9 to 407 of the family's 1533-position model. The record is from RNAcentral.